This 2787-nucleotide ribosomal RNA is filed under the name Flavobacterium sp. RNAcentral's name for it is "23S ribosomal RNA". It matches the Rfam family "Bacterial large subunit ribosomal RNA". The record is from RNAcentral. Lineage: Bacteria; Pseudomonadati; Bacteroidota; Flavobacteriia; Flavobacteriales; Flavobacteriaceae.
CAAUAAGCAAAAUAAGGGCGUAUGGGGGAUGCCUAGGCUCUCAGAGGCGAAGAAGGACGUGAUAAGCUGCGAAAAGCUACGGGGAUUGGCACACACGAAUUGAUCCGUAGAUAUCCGAAUGGGGCAACCCACUAUCUUGAAGAGAUAGUACACCGAUAGGUGGGCAAACCCGCUGAACUGAAACAUCUAAGUAGGCGGAGGAGAAGAAAACAAAAGUGAUUCCGUAAGUAGUGGCGAGCGAACGCGGAUUAGCCCAAACCAAUGUUGUUACGGCAAUGUUGGGGUUGUAGGACCACGAGAUUUUAUGCACAAGGAACCGGAAGUUACUGGAAAGUGACGCCAUAGAGGGUGAUAGCCCCGUAUGGGUAACGAGUGUAAUGAAUAGUGGUAUCCUGAGUAGGGCGGGGCACGUGAAACCCUGUCUGAAUUUGGCGGGACCAUCCGCUAAGGCUAAAUACUCCUGAGAGACCGAUAGUGAACCAGUACCGUGAGGGAAAGGUGAAAAGAACCGUGAAUAACGGAGUGAAAUAGAUCCUGAAACCAUACGCCUACAAGCGGUCGGAGCCCUUUUGUGGGGUGACGGCGUGCCUUUUGCAUAAUGAGCCUACGAGUUAACGUUGCUGGCAAGGAUAAGAGCUUAAGGCUUGGAUCCGUAGCGAAAGCGAGUCUGAAUAGGGCGCUUUAGUCAGUAGUGUUAGACGCGAAACCGUGUGAUCUACCCAUGGGCAGGUUGAAGCAUCUGGUAACACGAUGUGGAGGACCGAACCGGUUGACGUUGAAAAGUCUUCGGAUGACCUGUGGGUAGGGGUGAAAGGCCAAUAAGACUCGCCCCGAAAUGCAUUUAGGUGCAGCGUUGGCGUAAAGUUAUAUAGAGGUAGAGCUACUGAUUGGAUGCGGGGGCUUCACCGCCUACCAAUUCCUGACAAACUCCGAAUGCUAUAUAAUGUUUACCAGCAGUGAGGGCUUGGGUGCUAAGGUCCAAGUCCGAGAGGGAAAGAACCCAGACCAUCAGCUAAGGUCCCCAAAUAUAUGUUAAGUUGAAAGAACGAGGUUUGUCUGCCCAGACAGCUAGGAUGUUGGCUUGGAAGCAGCCAUUCAUUUAAAGAGUGCGUAACAGCUCACUAGUCGAGCGGACGAGCAUGGAUAAUAAUCGGGCAUAAACAUAUUACCGAAGCUAUGGAUUUUGACGUAAGUCAAAGUGGUAGGGGAGCAUUCCAGCAGGGUUGAAGGUGUAUCGUAAGGUAUGCUGGACUGGCUGGAAAAGAAAAUGUAGGCAUAAGUAACGAUAAUGCGGGCGAGAAACCCGCACACCGAAAGACUAAGGUUUCCGCAGCUAUGCUAAUCAGCUGCGGGUUAGUCGGGACCUAAGGCGAACCCGAAAGGGACAGUCGAUGGCCAACGGGUUAAUAUUCCCGUACUACUGAUAACUGUGAUGGGGUGACGGAGUGAUGAAAGUACCGCGAACUGACGGAAUAGUUCGUUAAAGCACCUAGCUAUAAGACUUGUAGGCAAAUCCGCAGGUUUUGGUGAAAUGCGAUAGUACUCGGCGUCUUCGGACAAAGAGAUAGUGUACCUAAGGGCUUCCAAGAAAAACCUCUAAACUUCAGGUUAUUAGUACCCGUACCGUAAACCGACACAGGUAGUCGAGGAGAGAAUCCUAAGGUGCUCGAGAGAUUCAUGGCUAAGGAAUUAGGCAAAAUAGACCCGUAACUUCGGGAGAAGGGUCGCCCCGAUUUAUCGGGGCCGCAGUGAAGAGGUCCAGGCGACUGUUUAUCAAAAACACAGGGCUCUGCAAAAUCGUAAGAUGAAGUAUAGGGCCUGACACCUGCCCGGUGCUGGAAGGUUAAGAGGAGAUGUUAUCUUCGGAGAAGCAUUGAAUUGAAGCCCCAGUAAACGGCGGCCGUAACUAUAACGUCCUAAGGUAGCGAAAUUCCUUGUCGGGUAAGUUCCGACCUGCACGAAUGGUGUAACGAUCUGGACACUGUCUCAGCCAUGAGCUCGGUGAAAUUGUAGUAACGGUGAAGAUGCCGUUUACCCGCAGUGGGACGAAAAGACCCUGUGCACCUUUACUAUAGCUUAGUAUUGACCUUGGAUAAAUGAUGUGUAGGAUAGGUUGGAGACUGUGAAGUGGCGUCGCCAGGCGUUGUGGAGUCAUUGUUGAAAUACGACCCUUUGCUUAUCUGGAGUCUAACUCGGGAAACUGAGAACAUUGCUUGGUGGGUAGUUUGACUGGGGUGGUCGCCUCCAAAAGAGUAACGGAGGCUUCUAAAGGUUCCCUCAGUACGCUUGGUAACCGUGCGUAGAGUGCAAUGGCAUAACAUCGCUCAAAGGAUAAAAGGUACGCCGGGGAUAACAGGCUGAUCUCCCCCAAGAGCUCAUAUCGACGGGGGGGUUUGGCACCUCGAUGUCGGCUCGUCACAUCCUGGGGCUGGAGAAGGUCCCAAGGGUUGGGCUGUUCGCCCAUUAAAGUGGCACGCGAGCUGGGUUCAGAACGUCGUGAGACAGUUCGGUCUCUAUCUACUGUGGGCGCAAGAAAUUUGAGUGGAUCUGAUUCUAGUACGAGAGGACGGAAUUGGACUAACCUCUAGUGUAUCUGUUGUUCCGCCAGGAGCACCGCAGAGUAGCUACGUUGGGAAGGGAUAAGCGCUGAAAGCAUAUAAGCGCGAAACCCACCACAAGAUGAGAUUUCUUUUAAGGGUCGUGGGAGAUGACCACGUUGAUAGGCUAUAGGUGUAAAGGCAGUAAUGUCAUAGCCGAGUAGUACUAAUAACCCGUAAGCUUAUGUAC